Molecule: ribosomal RNA, 433 nt
Filed under: uncultured bacterium
Lineage: Bacteria
Description: partial 16S ribosomal RNA
Rfam family: Bacterial small subunit ribosomal RNA
Source: RNAcentral
AACGAACGCUGGCGGCAUGCCUAACACAUGCAAGUCGAACGAGACCUUCUGGUCUAGUGGCGCACGUGUGCGUAACGCGUGGGAACCUGCCCUUAGGUUCGGAAUAACUUCCCGAAAGGGGUGCUAAUACCGGAUAAUGUCUUCGGACCAAAUAUUUAUCGCCUUUGGAUGGGCCCGCGUUGGAUGAGCUAGUUGGUAGGGUAAAAGCAUACGAAGGCGAAGAUCCAUAGCUGGUCUGAGAGGAGGUUCAGCCACACUGGGACUGAGACACGGCCCAGACUCCUACGGGAGGCAGAAGUGGGGAAUAUUGGAGAAUGGGCGAAAGCCUGAUCCAGCAAUGCCGCGUGAGUGAUGAAGGCGUUAGGGUUGUAAAGCUCUUUUACCCGGGAUGAUAAUGACAGUACCGGGAGAAUAAGCUCCGGCUAACUCCGUG